This 253-nucleotide ribosomal RNA is filed under the name uncultured bacterium. RNAcentral's name for it is "partial 16S ribosomal RNA". It matches the Rfam family "Bacterial small subunit ribosomal RNA", at positions 524 to 776 of the family's 1533-position model. The record is from RNAcentral.
UACGUAGGGGGCAAGCGUUGUCCGGAUUUAUUGGGCGUAAAGAGCGUGUAGGCGGCUUUACAGGUCCGUUGUGAAAACUCGAGGCUCAACCUCGAGACGCCGGUGGAAACCGUAAGGCUAGAGUCCGGAAGAGGAGAGUGGAAUUCCUGGUGUAGCGGUGAAAUGCGCAGAUAUCAGGAAGAACACCCGUGGCGAAGGCGGCUCUCUGGGACGGUACUGACGCUGAGACACGAAAGCGUGGGGAGCGAACAGG